CAGCAGAUUGGGAUGGUUGAGUAUCUCGCCUCUCCGUUCUGCCUGUAUUCUACCCUUGUUUGUCAUAUACUAUUAUUUCCUCGGCAGGCUUGCCUGCCGAGUGAAACCAUUUAUAACCUUUUUAAUUUUCAAUCAGCGUCUGAAAAAAUUAAUAAUUACAACUUUCAACAACGGAUCUCUUGGUUCUGGCAUCGAUGAAGAACGCAGCGAAAUGCGAUAAGUAGUGUGAAUUGCAGAAUUCAGUGAAUCAUCGAAUCUUUGAACGCACAUUGCGCCCCUUGGUAUUCCAUGGGGCAUGCCUGUUCGAGCGUCAUUUGUACCUUCAAGCUUUGCUUGGUGUUGGGUGUUUGUCCCGAGGGACUCGCCUUAAAGUAAUUGGCAGCCAGUGUUUGGUUUUGAAGCGCAGCACAAGUCGCGAUUCAAGGCUACACGCCCGCUUCCACAAGCCUUUUUCACUUUUGACCUCGGAUCAGGUAGGGAUACCCGCUGAACUUAAGCAUAUCAAUAAGCGGAGGAAA
RNAcentral lists this ribosomal RNA (518 nucleotides) under Phoma sp. CJL-2014. Its description in RNAcentral is "eukaryotic LSU rRNA". The stretch from base 160 to 313 matches the Rfam family "5.8S ribosomal RNA". The record is from RNAcentral. Lineage: Eukaryota; Fungi; Ascomycota; Dothideomycetes; Pleosporales; Didymellaceae.